This is a long non-coding RNA of Corapipo altera (White-ruffed manakin), 769 nucleotides long. RefSeq lists it as uncharacterized. NCBI's taxonomy places the organism in Eukaryota, Metazoa, Chordata, Aves, Passeriformes, Pipridae. The transcript is spliced from 3 exons. The record is from RefSeq and is a predicted model, not a curated record.
UUGCAGCUGUCAGUGCUGGAGCUUUGGUCAGAGAAGGUCCCAGCAGGGCACUCUUCACAAGUGACAUCCCGUGUUGAGGUGCCUGAAUAAAAACAAUGGCUGGGGACUGACCAACCAAAACACACCAGGUCAAGGCCCACGGCCAAGAGCGGGAAAGCAAAAAGAAAACCGAAAGAAAUGAGGGAAGAUUGAAAGUUGGACAAAUAAUUAUUUUACUAAAGACCCACAGCUACCCCACUGCCUCACAGAUGAGCACCAGAGCCCCUAUCUAAGCUCUUCUAGCAAAAGGACAGGCACCAGCACAAGAGACAGCCUGCAAGGUUUAAGUUCCACUGCUGAGGUCAGAGUAUCUGAUACAAAAAGUAAGUAUGUGAGUACAAAAAAAACUGUGUGUGAAAGACUUUCCCAGAACUGGCAACAAGGAGAGUUUUCUGGCCCGUUUUCCAGAUAAAGUGAGACUUGAAACAAGCACACUGAGCAUUUUGUAUAUGUACAUAUAUGUAUAUCAGCUCCUUUUUAAUGAAUGGUGUCAAUAAUUUUUGAACACACUGGAUAACUUCAAUCAAAUUUGGCUGAGGAGGGGGUGCCAUUAAGAUUUACAAGGUUUCACGGGAGGAAAUGGCUUGGAUGGAGGGACAAGGUGCUCAUGACAAGCUCCCUGAGGGAGAGGCUGCAGGAGGAGAUCAGUCCUCCUCAGAAGAAAGAAUCCACUCACACGUCCAAAGUGAAACCAGGCUUCCAGCUGCCAUUUUUCCUUGAACUUCAUUCU